CCCCUCCAGCCCCCGCCCUCCUCGGGGCGCCGCUCAUCCGUCUGGAGGGCAUCAAGGUUGGCUACAAGCAGAAGAUGGAGCUGAUCCCCAACAAAAUACACGAUGUGAAGACCCUCAGCUUGAAGCCUCUUCUCUUUGGGACUUCAGGACAAUGGCUGGGAUCUGCAACUAUCAGGAGCCCAUGGGUCUGAGCACAUCCUUUACACCACUGGAUCAGAGGUUUGUGAUUUGGGGGAUAUACUUGGACCCAUGUGUCAUCUGAAACUCUGUUUUGAGAAAUAACAUUGGUAUUUUGGUUG
Molecule: long non-coding RNA, 299 nt
Filed under: Vombatus ursinus (common wombat)
Lineage: Eukaryota; Metazoa; Chordata; Mammalia; Diprotodontia; Vombatidae
Description: lncRNA (ENSVURG00010022083.1)
Source: RNAcentral